CGUGAAGACAUUUGUCGUUGUGCUGAGGCACUGGUUGGAUUCGGGGGUGCGUGUCUCCCUCAUGUCUGCCCGGCAUCCUCGGCUCAGAACCCCUCCUGCUGCUCCUUCUUGAUUGCUCGUUGUCUUGUCUUCUUUUGAGGUGAAGUUGAGUCCUCCCUCUUUCUUCCUUGCCUUUCUCCGGCCACACGCCCCGUUGCCGUGCAUGGGCCCCUGCUCAGUGCCUCACCUGACCCACUGCACCUGGCCAGGUGGAGGAGCAUGUCAGCCGCAUCCGGGAGGAGCUGGACCGUGAGCGGGAGGAACGAAACUACUUCCAGCUGGAGCGGGACAAGAUCCACACCUUCUGGGAGAUCACACGGAGGCAGCUGGAGGAGAAGAAGGCUGAGCUGCGGAACAAAGACCGGGAGAUGGAAGAAGCCGAGGAGAGGCACCAGGUGGAGAUCAAGGUGUACAAGCAGAAAGUGAAGCACCUGCUAUAUGAGCACCAGAACAACCUGACAGAGAUGAAGGCCGAGGGCACCGUAGUCAUGAAGCUGGCACAGAAAGAGCACCGCACACAGGAGGGUGUGCUGCGCAAGGACAUGCGGGCACUGAAGGUGGAGCUCAAGGAGCAGGAGCUGGCCAAUGAGGUGGUGGUGAAGAACCUGCGGCUGAAACACACCGAGGAGAUCACCAGGAUGCGGAAUGAUUUUGAGAGGCAAGUUCGAGAAAUUGAGGCCAAGUAUGAUAAGAAGAUGAAGAUGCUGAGGGACGAGCUCGACUUGCGGAGAAAGACUGAGCUCCACGAAGUAGAGGAGAGGAAGAAUGGCCAGAUCCACACGCUGAUGCAGCGCCACGAGGAGGCCUUCACCGACAUUAAGAACUACUACAACGACAUCACCCUCAACAACCUGGCCCUCAUCAACUCCCUCAAGGUGCUGUGCGUGGGCUGGGCUGGGCUGGGGAGGCACACUCUGCCUGUCCUAGAAUGUGGGCUGCAGAGUCCUGGGGAUCCAGACCCCAGCUCUCCACCCCAACACACCCAGUACUUUUUAUAAGAUUAUUUGACAAUGCCCCUCUCAUAUCCUUAACUGAAAUUCCUAAAUAACGUAACCUAUCUCUACCUAUGGUUAAAAGCAGUCAGGAUAUUGCCCUCACCGUAGUGCAGAGGGGGAAGUAAUAAAGUGUGUUCUGGUUUGUAAAAGCUCAGAUGGAACCGCAGUGAGGGCCGUGAUGUGGCUGGAGUGGAUAGGUGUCAUAGUCACUGCCUGCGACAGGUGGAUAGGUGUCAUCGUCACUGGAUGCUGGCAGUGACAGGAUUUUCUACAGUAGACAACGGCCCUUGGUGGAAUCUUGAACGAAGUGUAGUCCUUCAGUCUGCAUGGAAGCUGCAUUCCCAGAAAACUCAGAAUAAGUUGAAGCUGCAGAAAUACUGUUUAUACAUAGAAGACGUCUAGGUGCCAGCGUGCCUGAGGCUGGCAGCAGCUGGUGAUGGGCAGGAGAGCACCCAGCUCUCACCAUGCAGGCCACAGCCCCUUUGGUUCUGCCUGCUGAGCCCCUGCCGGGCCUGUGCUUGUGCCUGCAGGAGCAGAUGGAGGACAUGCGGAAGAAGGAGGACCACCUGGAGAGGGAGAUGGCAGAGGUGUCUGUGCAGAACAAGCGCCUGGCAGAACCUCUCCAGAAGGCUCGGGAGGAGAUGAACGAGAUGCAGAAACAGCUCGCAAACUACGAGAGGGACAAGCAGACCCUGCUUUGCACAAAAGCCCGUUUGAAAGUCACGGAGAAAGAGCUGAAAGACCUGCAGUGGGAGCAUGAAGUGUUAGAGCAGCGGUUCACCAAGGUGCAGCAGGAGCGGGACGAGCUCUAUGGGAAGUUCACCGCAGCCAUCCAGGAGGUGCAGCAGAAGACAGGGUUCAAGAACCUCGUGCUAGAACGCAAGCUGCAGGCUCUGAGCGCCGCUGUGGAGAAGAAGGAGGUGCAGUUCAACGAGGUCCUGGCUGCCUCUAACCUGGACCCUGCAGCCCUGACGCUGGUGUCCCGCAAGCUGGAGGAUGUUCUUGAAUCGAAGAACAGCACCAUCCAGGACCUGCAGUAUGAGCUGGCCCGGGUCUGUAAGGCCCAUAACGACCUGCCCUGUCUCCACAGGCCCAUAACGACCUGCCCUGUCUCCACAGGCCCAUAACGACCUGCUGCGCACGUAUGAGGCAAAGCUGCUGGCCUUCGGGAUCCCUCUGGACAACGUGGGCUUCACGCCCUUGGAAACAGCUGUGAUCGGACAGACGCUGGGCCAGGGCCCCGCAGGACUGGUGGGCACCCCGACGUAGCUGCCCCCCUGGGGGGCCACAGCCCAGAGAACCAGCCUAGGAACACUCUUGGGAUGACACCCCUUAUUACACCAAGGACAGCAAGUUUUUUAGAUUUUAUCAUCAGCAAAUGAAAGCUUUUCACAUGUUCUUGCCAUCCUCUUUCCUGGCUCUGUGGAGGAGAACCACCUGCAGGACCCUCACCCAUGGCGUCCCUGUCGCUCCCUUCCCUGGGUGCAGCACGUCCAGCCUGUGUCCAGGCCUACUCCCUGGUCUCCCCUCCGACCACAGUCGGCAGCACCUUCUCAGAGUGCCCCGCACUCACCUGGGGGUUGGGGCAGUGCCGCGCUGUGCUGCCUGUCUUCGCGCCACUGUUGUCCCACCGAAUGGACAGCUUUGCAGGUGCUGGCACUAACUUCAUUGACACCUGAGUCACAGCUGCCCAGUGGGAUUCUCCGGGGGGCCAGGACUUCCCUAGGAAGUGGUGAGCCAAUGUUCCCUGAUGAGCACAAAGCCCGGUCUGUUGAGGGCUGGGUGGGUGCAGCCAGCGUGCGGGAAAGGGCAGGCAGCCUCCCGCUGCCAGUCUUCACUCUAACUCCCUCGGUAGGUGAUGUAGGACCAGGGGCACGUGGAACUUCUGGGCCUUGCUGGUGAUGGUUAAAACAACCUGAGAUGGAGAGACCAGGAGAGAGUAUAAGGGGAUAGCAGCAAACCACCUAUCUGGCCCCAACACACCUGAGAGAAUUCAGCAGCCCAGACUGAGGGUCUGGGAUGGGGUGAACCUUCCGCACCAGAGGGACACUCCACAGAAGCCACAGCCCAGUAAGUCAGGCGCUUCUGCGGCGGCUCCAGUGUGGGGUGAGGCAGUGAGGUUAGGCCCAGAGAGCUGGAGUUGGCUCAGAUGAAAACCUCUGUCAACAAAGAGGGGAUGAAUCACCCUUGGCCCAGCCUCCCCACAAAGCCUGACCCUGGGCAGGUGAGUGACGGGUGUGUCCUCAUAGAGUCUGUUGCUGCCUGGACACCUUUCUUUUGGGAGCUCAAAGCAAGUGAGCUCACCUACCUGCCACCGCCCAGGACCAGUCUGCCCACUGCCUAAAUGAUGCCCGGCCAGCAGGACCUGGCCUGCAGAUCCCAGUGAGUCAUGAGCCUCAGCCCCCUCCAGCCCACUGGGGCUCUCACCUCCACAUGUGGGUAGAAGCUUUCCUGCCCCCUCUUCCUCCAGUAGCCCUCAGUGUCGAAGGUGAGCUUGUAGGUGCCUGCCUUCAUCUGGUCCGGCGUCAGGAGUCCAGGACAGCGGCCAUCUGGGUCUGUGUAGCUGGGGAGAAGAUGAGGCUGCAGAGAUGGGGACCAGAAGCCCCCCACCCCAGCUUUCCUGGGUCUGCAUCCCAGUGGGCCUCAGACACUGCCCUGCCACCUGUCAGACUUGGGUGAGCAGACACAGUGAGGCUGUUAGGUCCUGCAGUUCCAGAGCAGUCUAGGGACACCACUGCCCUGUCUUUAGGAAAUCACAACACAGAGAAGCAAAAAGGGAAAAAGUCUCCCACAGUUUAUCCCAUGAGCAAUAACCACUUUAUAGCUGGCGUAUAUUUUUCCAGAUUUUCUCUAUGCAUAUUUGUUUAAAAACUUAUAAAGUGGAUUAUACUAUUU
RNAcentral lists this small RNA (3929 nucleotides) under Pan troglodytes (chimpanzee). RNAcentral describes it as "retained intron". Lineage: Eukaryota; Metazoa; Chordata; Mammalia; Primates; Hominidae. The record is from RNAcentral.